AAUAAUUAGAAAGAGGAAAUCUGAGCGAGUCCCCUCCUUCCUUCCUUCCUUCCUUCCUUCCUGUCUCUGUCUCUCUCUCAGAAUUUCUGUGAGAGAUCUAUUAGAGUUCCUCAAUUUAGGUAUUUUUUCACAAUUUAUUCAUCGGUGAAACUCCAUCUCUGACUUUGUUUAAUGUUCACAAGGGAUAACUUUAGGUAUGGGACAAAGGAACAUGCUGUGCACUAGUCAGAUAGAUCUAGAAAUGGAUCAGCAAGGCCAGGGUUAUCUUCAUCCUGAGCCCUGCAUUCUCUUGGGGGGCAUAACUAACUUCCCACAGCCUGAUAUUCAGACAGU
This 333-nucleotide unclassified non-coding RNA is filed under the name Hevea brasiliensis (rubber tree). The record is from RNAcentral. Lineage: Eukaryota; Viridiplantae; Streptophyta; Magnoliopsida; Malpighiales; Euphorbiaceae.